Rattus rattus (black rat) is the source of this 608-nucleotide long non-coding RNA. RefSeq lists it as uncharacterized. The transcript has 3 exons. Lineage: Eukaryota; Metazoa; Chordata; Mammalia; Rodentia; Muridae. The record is from RefSeq and is a predicted model, not a curated record.
ACCUUGGGUAUUGGGGAUACCAGGACCCUGGGAUUGCUAUCAAGGAGAGCAUCUGGUGGCGUGGAGCUGGCCUGAGACUAACAGACAAGAUGUAUGUUCCAGAGGUCGCAGAGGCUGAGCUGCUUAGGGCAUUUUUGAGCCUAGAAGAUGGCACAAGCUUGACAUGCUGUGUUGGGAAAGAGUGAGGUCUCCACGUUGAUGAAAGGCAGGGCUACUCUCAAGGAAGAUGUCUUGGAAGAGCCCUUAAACUGCUUCCUGCUCUUGACAGGGACCGUACACCAAGCAUCGAUUCUAGAGGAGGCGAACAGCACUGACAGCUAUUCUUUGUCUCUCGUCUGGGCUUUGCACGGAGCUCGACGUCGUUUCCAUGGGUGAGAAAUACCACUGCCACUACCUUGAUAGCGUUUCUGCCUCCAUGGUUCCUGACCUGCCUAGAAAGGGAGGACCCUGGAGAUUCUUGUUCUACAGCUGUCCUCAGGAUACCCUUAAUUCCCAGGCGCAGGGAUAAGCUUGUCUGACCCCAUUUGACCCCGCCGCAGGCGCCAGGCGUCCUCAUUUAUUGUGAAGCCUAAGAGUCCUCAAGGCUGCCUGCCUACUCCCCCGCUCCC